This 301-nucleotide ribosomal RNA is filed under the name uncultured bacterium. RNAcentral describes it as "partial 16S ribosomal RNA". It matches the Rfam family "Bacterial small subunit ribosomal RNA", at positions 509 to 808 of the family's 1533-position model. The record is from RNAcentral.
CAGUCGCCGCGGGAAUACGUAGGUGGCGAGCGUUGUCCGGAAUUAUUGGGCGUAAAGGGAGCGCAGGCGGGCGAGUAAGUCUUUCUUAAAAGUGCGGGGCUCAACCCCGUGAGGGGAGAGAAACUACUCAUCUUGAGUGCAGGAGAGGAAAGCGGAAUUCCUAGUGUAGCGGUGAAAUGCGUAGAUAUUAGGAAGAACACCAGUGGCGAAGGCGGCUUUCUGGACUGUAACUGACGCUGAGGCUCGAAAGCCAGGGGAGCGAACGGGAUUAGAUACCCCCGUAGUCCCUGUCUCUUAUACC